ACUGGGAGACUUGAGUAUGUUUGAGGUAGGCGGAAUGCGUGGUGUAGCGGUGAAAUGCAUAGAUAUCACGCAGAACUCCGAUUGCGAAGGCAGCUUGCCAAGCCAUAACUGACACUGAAGCACGAAAGCGUGGGUAUCAAACAGGAUUAGAUACCCUGGUAGUCCACGCAGUAAACGAUGAUUACUAGGAGUUUGCGAUAAAAUGUAAGCUCUACAGCGAAAGCGUUAAGUAAUCCACCUGGGGAGUACGCCGGCAACGGUGAAACUCAAAGGAAUUGACGGGGGCCCGCACAAGCGGAGGAACAUGUGGUUUAAUUCGAUGAUACGCGAGGAACCUUACCCGGGAUUGAACGCAGUCUGACGGGGGUGGAAACACCCUUUCUAGCAAUAGCAGAUUGCGAGGUGCUGCAUGGUUGUCGUCAGCUCGUGCCGUGAGGUGUCGGCUUAAGUGCCAUAACGAGCGCAACCCCUGCCGACAGUUACUAACAAGUAGCGUUGAGGACUCUGUCGGGACUGCCAGCGUAAGCUGCGAGGAAGGCGGGGAUGACGUCAAAUCAGCACGGCCCUUACAUCCGGGGCGACACACGUGUUACAAUGGCGUGGACAGAGGGCGGCCACCUGGCGACAGGGCGCAAAUCCCGAAACCACGUCUCAGUUCGGAUCGGAGUCUGCAACCCGACUCCGUGAAGCUGGAUUCGCUAGUAAUCGCGCAUCAGCCAUGGCGCGGUGAAUACGUUCCCGGGCCUUGUACACACCGCCCGUCAAGCCAUGGGAGCCGGGGGUACCUGAAGUCCGUAACCGCGAGGGGCGGCCUAGGGUAAAACUGGUGACUGGGGCUAAGUCGUAACAAGGUAACCA
RNAcentral lists this ribosomal RNA (858 nucleotides) under uncultured bacterium. RNAcentral describes it as "bacterial SSU rRNA". It matches the Rfam family "Bacterial small subunit ribosomal RNA", at positions 632 to 1502 of the family's 1533-position model. The record is from RNAcentral.